AUGAUGCAACAAAUCUGGUCCGUUGAUCAAGCACAAGCUCUAGCCUUAAAGGCCGAGAGGUUUGCGAGGAUGAGAAAGACAACUAAGGCUCCAUAUCCUCAUACCGAAGGCUCAUCUAGGAGCCAACCUAAUAGAGUGGAAGAAAAGACCACUCCACCAAAGACAAAACAGCCCAUCCCGAAGCAAACUAGAGGCAAGGGUAAGGCAAAUGAAGGCCCAAAGUACUAUAAAUGUGGUAAAGAGGGACACAUAUCCAGCGGUUGCCCACUAAGGAAAUUUGUUAACACGACUAUCCAUGAUGGUGAAAGCGAUGAGGAAGAAUACGAAUCUGAAGAUGUAGACGGACAAGAGGUUUGUCAAGAAGAAAGUGAAGAGGUGGUAUGUGUGAUCCAGCGUGUCCUAUGUUCCACACCACAACUCGAUGACACACAACGGAAGAAAAUAUUUGAGAGCAAAUGCACGGUGAAUGGCAAGGUAUGCAAACUAGUGAUUGAUAGUUGCAGCUGCGAGAAUCUUAUCUCCCAGAAGUUGGUGGACCAUUUAAAGCUUGAAACCCAUGAUCAUCCAAAUCCCUACACUAUUGGAUGGAUCAAGAAAGGAGUGAAUAUGAGGAUCACCAAACAAUGCAACCUGCCACUUUCUUUGGGUAAGCAUUAUCGCUCAAAUGUGUUGUGUGAUGUGGUUGACAUGGAUGCCAGCCAUGUUCUUCUUGGGAGGCCUUGGCAAUUUGAUGUGGAUACUACACACAAGGGCAAGGAAAAUUCUUACUCUUUCCUUUGGAACAAGAGAAGGAUCAUUAUCUUACCAAACAAAACCGAAGGUAAUACCUCUAAGGAGGAGGGGAAAACUAUGUUAACUAUCUCCCAUACCUCUCAUGAGUUUAUGGAAGACUUGAAGGAGGCAGAUUUGUGUGUUGCACUUGUUGUAAAGGGAGAAGAGCACCUGACUGUUGAAAUUUCAGCAAAGGUACGUGGUUUAUUGGCAGAAUUUCAGAACAUACUUGGGGAGCCACAUGGCUUGCCACCGAUGAGAGGAAUUCAACAUAGAAUUGACUUAAUUCCGGGAGCAAGUCUUCCUAAUCUUCCACACUAUCGAAUGAGCCCAAAGGAGCAUGAUAUAUUGAAGGAGAAAGUGGAGGAAUUGUUGCAAAAGGGGCACAUUCGAGAAAGUAUUAGCCCAUGUGUUGUACCAGCCUUACUCGCGCCAAAGAAAGAUGGAUCUUGGCGCAUGUGUACGGACAGUAGAGCCGUUAACAAGAUCACCGUAAGGUAUAGAUUCCCUAUUCCCCGUCUGGAUGAUAUGUUGGAUCAGCUUAGUGGAGCAAGAGUGUUCACAAAGCUAGAUUUAAGAAGUGGAUAUCAUCAAAUCCGUAUAAGACCCGGGGAUGAAUGGAAGACCGCCUUCAAGACAAAGGGUUGUUUGAAUGGCUAG
Molecule: ribosomal RNA, 1431 nt
Filed under: Triticum aestivum (bread wheat)
Lineage: Eukaryota; Viridiplantae; Streptophyta; Magnoliopsida; Poales; Poaceae
Description: partial small subunit ribosomal RNA
Source: RNAcentral